UAAAUGGACUUCCUUAAGUCCAUUAAAGUCUUUCUAUUAAACAAUUU
Non-coding RNA from Bos taurus (domestic cattle), 47 nucleotides. The record is from Rfam. Lineage: Eukaryota; Metazoa; Chordata; Mammalia; Artiodactyla; Bovidae.